CCAGCACAACAAAGUAAAUCUUAAUCUUAGAUCAUUUCUAAAACCUAAUUUAUAUCAAAACAAUCAUUAUUCCAACCAUUUUGGAAGCUUAAUCGAGCUCGAUGAUGGUCGUUUCACUCCUUAUUGAUUUUCUUGAUUUAAUCAUAAAGGGUUAUGAGAAUUUUAUAUGGGGGAUGAAGAGUUUUUAGCACACCAAGAGCGGUUUGAUCUGAUUAUAAGAUGAUAUGUUUACAUUUGUAUUUGAAUAUGCUUUAUGUUUGAUUCAUUAUCGGUCAAUUUCCGUUGGUAUCAGGUGUAAAGGGUUUGUAUUUGAAGAGAUUUAGUUAUUCAAGACGUAGCUAUGUAUUGGUUUUAUCAGUGCUUCAAUCUUGUCCCUUCUUCAUUAUCAGUCUAUUUAAAUGUGCUUGGGAGGAUGUGUUCUGAUGACCCUCGACGAUGGUGACCACAGUAAAGAAUUGCUGGAACUGAAUCUACGCGUUUGUGAUGAGGUUAAGAGAGCUGGGGAUGGAGGAGUGAUGGGUGAGGGACAAGGUGACACAGGGAUUGAUAAAAUUGGUGAAGAUGGAGGUGGACGGGCGAUGCAGGGCCAAUCUGUUCUGCAAGUGUCACAACCGCAGCGACAGCCUCAAGGGCCUGUUAUUGGUUGGGAGAGGUUUCUCCAUGUUAGGUCCAUUAAGGUUUUGUUGGUGGAAACUGAUGAUUCAACACGACAUGUUGUAAUCGCACUGCUUCAUAAUUGCAAUUAUGAAGUUAUGGAAGCAACCAAUGGAUUACAUGCAUGGAAGAUUUUAGAAGAUCUAAACAAUCAUAUUGACCUUGUCUUGACUGAAGUAGUCAUGCCUUCUUUAUCUGGCAUUGGUCUUCUAUGCAAGAUUAUGAGUCACAAAACACGCAAGAAUAUCCCUGUAAUUAUGAUAUCAUCUCACGACUCAAUGAGUUUAGUUCUCAAGUGUUUGUCAAAAGGUGCAGUUGACUUUUUAGUGAAGCCUAUUCGAAAGAAUGAGCUUAAAAACCUCUGGCAGCAUGUUUGGAGGAGAUGCCACAGUUCAAGUGGUAGUGGUAGCGGGAGUGAAAGUGGUACACAAACUCAAAAAACAGUAAAAUCAGAAAGUAGCAAAAGGUCUGACAACAGCAGCAGGAGCGAUGACAGGGAUGAUAAUGGGAGCAUUGGAUUGGAUAGUGGGGUUGGUAGUGACAACGGGAGUGGCACUCAGAGCUCUUGGAAAAAACAAGCUGCAGAAGUUGUCAGCUCCCAAGCAAUCUCUCCUUGGGAUCAAAUACCUGACAGUCCAGGUAGCAAUUGCGCCCAAGUUAUCCACUCAAAUGUUGAAACUUCUAGUAACAAAUGGUUGUGCAUGACUUCAACAAGGGAAUGGCAAGAACAACUUGGCAAUGCUGAGUUGAUGAUUGACAAGCCUAAAAAAUUAGAUUUACUACCAGAGGAUCCACUUGAGGUUCCGUUCAAACUUAUAGGUACAAAACAAAAUACUCUGCCUGAGCUAGGUAAGCGAACAGACAAAGGACAACUGAACCCUAGUGGUGAGAGUCCAUCCAACAAAUAUGGAGCUGUCUUUACCAACCCAUCUGGUCCUCAGAUGGACAAAAGAGAAUCUGAGCCUCCUAGAGAACUUGCUAAGAUUUUGGAAACCAAUCAUGAAGCUGUUACUGAUUCUAAAGAAUUACCAGCAAUUGAGCCCUGUUUAAAGAGGCUUAGGGUUACAGACAAUGGGACCAUUAUGCAAGAUGAUUGUAAUGUCCUAAGACAUUCAGAGCUUUCAGCCUUCUCGAGGUACAAUACAGCCUUAAAUGCUUGCAAGGCUCCUAAUAGGAUCACCAGAAGCAGAUCUCCACUUGCUGAUGAUCGAUCUCUCGCCAAUGGGGAUCCUCUCCAUCAGAGCUCACAUGUGGGUAGCAAUAAGAUGGUUAUGGGCUCUGCCACAAGUAAAACCUUUAUCAAGCCAGUAGUUCUGAAAGAUCAGUCAGAAACAACAUCAACAGUUAAUGCUUUGCUGGCUCCAUCAAGCGUCUCGCACUCGGAGCUUCAAGUUCAGCACAUUCAUCAACAUCACCAUCACCAUCACCAUCACCAUUUUCUCCACACAGAACGAAAACAACUGCUGUCCAACCAUGGUGAUUUGUCAAUAAAGUUUUUGGCUGUAGAUGCUCCAUAUUGUGGGUCAUCGAAUGUGUUGGGUGGACCUGUUGAAGGUAACACUGCAAAUUGCAGUAUGAACAGAAGUGCAUCAGGCAGUAAUCAUGGGAGCAAUGGGCAGAAUGGAAGCAGUAGUGCUGUGAAUGCUGGAGGAACAAACAGAGAAAGUGAUAACGGGUUAGCUGGAAAAAGCAGAAGUGGUGAUGCUAGUGGAAGCAGAAAAAGAGAGGACGAAAACAAAUAUGCACACAGAGAAGUAGCCUUGACCAAGUUUCGUGAGAAGAGGAAGGAGCGAUGCUUUUGUAAGAAGGCUCUCACCACCUCAUUUGGAGACUGAAGGUCAAAGGCAACAUACUAUUGAACAGAUUUUGCCAUAUCAAUGUUCUGCCUUUCCAAAAUUUAAACAGACUCUCACCACCCCAUUUGGAGACUGAAAGGCAACAUACUAUUGGUCCGAUACCAGAGCAGGAAACAACUAGCAGAGCAGCGGCCACGUGUGCGAGGGCAAUUUGUACGGCAGGCAGGGCCUGAAAAUUCACUCAAGGAUGUGGAUAGCUAACACAUCUCUUUCACUACAUUGCACAAAGCUUGUGAAUUUAAUUCGUGUCAGCAUAUGUAGGGAAAGUUUAUACAGUAUUCAUGGUUCAGGUACAUUCGGUUCUACGUCUUGUAAGAACUCAAAAUAAAUAUAUUGAAACAAAAAUGGAGCAAUUCAAUUCA
Cornus florida is the source of this 2872-nucleotide RNA transcript. It is a transcript of the gene named two-component response regulator-like APRR7, with no coding region annotated. Lineage: Eukaryota; Viridiplantae; Streptophyta; Magnoliopsida; Cornales; Cornaceae. The transcript has 12 exons. The record is from RefSeq and is a predicted model, not a curated record.